This 439-nucleotide ribosomal RNA is filed under the name uncultured bacterium. Its description in RNAcentral is "partial 16S ribosomal RNA". It matches the Rfam family "Bacterial small subunit ribosomal RNA", at positions 338 to 795 of the family's 1533-position model. The record is from RNAcentral.
CCUACGGGUGGCAGCAGUGGGGAAUAUUGCACAAUGGGGGGAACCCUGAUGCAGCAAUGCCGCGUGGGUGAAGAAGCACUCCGGUGCGUAAAGCCCUGUCAGUAGGGAAGAAAAUGACAGUACCUGACCAAGAAGCCCCGGCUAACUACGUGCCAGCAGCCGCGGUAAUACGGAGGAUGCGAGCGUUAUCCGGAUUCAUUGGGGUUAAAGGGUGCGCAGGCGGGCCUUUAAGCCGGCGGUGAAAUCGCGGGGCUCAACCCCGCCGAGCCGUCGGAACUGGGGGCCUAGAGUGCGGCGGAGGGAUGCGGAAUGCGCGGUGUAGCGGUGAAAUGCAUAGAUAUCGAGCGGAACCCCGAUUGCGAAGGCAGCGUGCCGUGCCGCCACUGACGCUGAGGCACGAAAGCGCGGGGAUCGAACAGGAUUAGAUACCCGUGUAGUC